Molecule: ribosomal RNA, 298 nt
Filed under: uncultured eukaryote
Lineage: Eukaryota
Description: partial 18S ribosomal RNA
Rfam family: Eukaryotic small subunit ribosomal RNA
Source: RNAcentral
CCCUUAGACACUCUAGGCGGCACGCGCGCUACAAUGGGCGGGAGAACGUGUUACUGCCACUGAAAAGUGGGGUGAAUCACGAAUCCUUGCCCGUGAAUGGGAUAGUUUGUUGCAAUUUUCGGACUUGAACUAGGAAUCCCUUGUAAGCAUGCUCAAGAAUAGCGUGUUGAAUACGUCCCUGCCGUUUAUACACACCGCCCGUCGUUUCUUCCGACUGAUACUCAUUGUGAGUUGCAAGGAUCCUUUAUUGGAAAAUUGCCGCGAAUGCUUUGUAUUGGAGGAAGAAAAAGUCGUAACA